GACGAACGCUGGCGGCGUGCUUAACACAUGCAAGUCGAACGGAAAGGCCCUGCUUUUGUGGGGUGCUCGAGUGGCGAACGGGUGAGUAACACGUGAGUAACCUGAUCUUGACUUUGGGAUAACUUCAGGAAACUGGGGCUAAUACCGGAUAGGAGCUCCUGCUGCAUGGUGGGGGUUGGAAAGUUUCGGCGGUUGGGGAUGGACUCGCGGCUUAUCAGCUUGUUGGUGGGGUAGUGGCUUACCAAGGCUUUGACGGGUAGCCGGCCUGAGAGGGUGACCGGCCACAUUGGGACUGAGAGACGGCCCAGACUCCUACGUGGGGCAAGAGUGGGGAAUAUUGCACAAUGGGCGGACGCCUGAUGCAGCAACGCCGCGGGCGGGAUGACGGCCUUCGGGUUGUAAACCGCUUUCGCCUGUGACGAAGCGUGAGUGACGGUAAUGAGUAAAGAAGCACCGGCUAACUACGUG
Molecule: ribosomal RNA, 468 nt
Filed under: uncultured bacterium
Lineage: Bacteria
Description: partial 16S ribosomal RNA
Rfam family: Bacterial small subunit ribosomal RNA
Source: RNAcentral